GAUGAACGCUGACAGAAUGCUUAACACAUGCAAGUCUUUGGCGAAGCUGUGCUUGCACAGCCUAGCCAAGGCGGACGGGUGAGUAACGCGUAAGGGACUUGCCCUGCAGUCAGGGAUAACAGACGGAAACGACUGAUAAGACCUGGUAAAGUCAGGCGGACUCAUGUCCAGCCUGAUGAAAAGGAAUGCUGCAGGAGAGCCUUGCGUCCUAUUAGCUUGUUGGUGGGGUAACGGCCCACCAAGGCGAUGAUAGGUAGCCGGCCUGAGAGGGUGGACGGCCACAAGGGGACUGAGAUACGGCCCUUACUCCUACGGGAGGCAGCAGUGGGGAAUAUUGGACAAUGGGGGCAACCCUGAUCCAGCAAUUCUGUGUGCACGAUGAAGGUCUUCGGAUUGUAAAGUGCUUUCAGCAGGGAAGAAAAAA
Molecule: ribosomal RNA, 424 nt
Filed under: Leptotrichia wadei
Lineage: Bacteria; Fusobacteriati; Fusobacteriota; Fusobacteriia; Fusobacteriales; Leptotrichiaceae
Description: bacterial SSU rRNA
Rfam family: Bacterial small subunit ribosomal RNA
Source: RNAcentral